This 465-nucleotide ribosomal RNA is filed under the name Vreelandella stevensii. RNAcentral's name for it is "partial 16S ribosomal RNA". It matches the Rfam family "Bacterial small subunit ribosomal RNA", at positions 338 to 795 of the family's 1533-position model. Lineage: Bacteria; Pseudomonadati; Pseudomonadota; Gammaproteobacteria; Oceanospirillales; Halomonadaceae. The record is from RNAcentral.
CCUACGGGUCGCAGCAGUGGGGAAUAUUGGACAAUGGGCGAAAGCCUGAUCCAGCCAUGCCGCGUGUGUGAAGAAGGCCUUCGGGUUGUAAAGCACUUUCAGUGGGGAAGAAAGCCUUGGGGCUAAUACCCUCGAGGAAGGACAUCACCCACAGAAGAAGCACCGGCUAACUCCGUGCCAGCAGCCGCGGUAAUACGGAGGGUGCGAGCGUUAAUCGGAAUUACUGGGCGUAAAGCGCGCGUAGGCGGUCUGAUAAGCCGGUUGUGAAAGCCCCGGGCUCAACCUGGGAACGGCAUCCGGAACUGUCAGGCUAGAGUGCAGGAGAGGAAGGUAGAAUUCCCGGUGUAGCGGUGAAAUGCGUAGAGAUUGGGAGGAAUACCAGUGGCGAAGGCGGCCUUCUGGACUGACACUGACGCUCAGGUGCGAAAGCGUGGGUAGCAAACAGGAUUAGAUACCCGGGUAGUC